GACGAACGCUGGCGGCGUGCUUAACACAUGCAAGUCGAACGGACAGGCCCUGCUUUUGUGGGGUGCUCGAGUGGCGAACGGGUGAGUAACACGUGAGUAACCUGCCCUUGACUUUGGGAUAACUUCAGGAAACUGGGGCUAAUACCGGAUAGGAGCUCCUGCUGCAUGGUGGGGGUUGGAAAGUUUCGGCGGUUGGGGAUGGACUCGCGGCUUAUCAGCUUGUUGGUGGGGUAGUGGCUUACCAAGGCUUUGACGGGUAGCCGGCCUGAGAGGGUGACCGGCCACAUUGCGACUGAGGUACGGACCAGACUCCUACGGGAGGCAGCGGUGGGGAGUAUUGCACAAUGGGCGGAAGCCUGAUGCAGCAACGCCGCGUGCGGGAUGCCGGCCUUCGGGUUGUAAACCGCUUUCGCCUGUGACGAAGCGUGAGUGACGGUAAUGGGUAAAGAAGCACCGGCUAACUACGUG
Molecule: ribosomal RNA, 468 nt
Filed under: uncultured bacterium
Lineage: Bacteria
Description: partial 16S ribosomal RNA
Rfam family: Bacterial small subunit ribosomal RNA
Source: RNAcentral